CUUCUUUAUCACCGAGUGCUUGCACUCACCGGUAAAGGGUUGAGUGGCGAACGGGUGAGUAACACGUGGGCAACCUGCCCAAAAGAGGGGGAUAACACUUGGAAACAGGUGCUAAUACCGCAUAACCAUAGUUACCGCAUGGUAGCUAUGUAAAAGGUGGCUAUGCUACCGCUUUUGGAUGGGCCCGCGGCGCAUUAGCUAGUUGGUGGGGUAAAGGCUUACCAAGGCAAUGAUGCGUAGCCGAACUGAGAGGUUGAUCGGCCACAUUGGGACUGAGACACGGCCCAAACUCCUACGGGAGGCAGCAGUAGGGAAUCUUCCACAAUGGGCGAAAGCCUGAUGGAGCAACGCCGCGUGGGUGAAGAAGGUCUUCGGAUCGUAAAACCCUGUUGUUAGAGAAGAAAGUGCGUGAGAGUAACUGUUCACGUUUC
RNAcentral lists this ribosomal RNA (431 nucleotides) under uncultured bacterium. RNAcentral's name for it is "bacterial SSU rRNA". It matches the Rfam family "Bacterial small subunit ribosomal RNA", at positions 70 to 479 of the family's 1533-position model. The record is from RNAcentral.